Molecule: ribosomal RNA, 448 nt
Filed under: uncultured bacterium
Lineage: Bacteria
Description: partial 16S ribosomal RNA
Rfam family: Bacterial small subunit ribosomal RNA
Source: RNAcentral
CUCCAGACUCCUACGGGAGGCAGCAGUGGGGGAUAUUGCACAAUGGGGGAAACCCUGAUGCAGCGACGCCGCGUGGGCGAAGAAGUAUUUCGGUAUGUAAAGCCCUAUCAGCAGGGAAGAAGAAAUGACGGUACCUGAGUAAGAAGCACCAGCUAAAUACGUGCCAGCAGCCGCGGUAAUACGUAGGGGGCAAGCGUUAUCCGGAUUUACUGGGUGUAAAGGGGGCGCAGACGGCAGCGCAAGCCAGGAGUGAAAGCCCGGGGCCCAACCCCGGGACUGCUCUUGGAACUGCGCGGCUGGAGUGCAGGAGGGGCAGGCGGAAUUCCUAGUGUAGCGGUGAAAUGCGUAGAUAUUAGGAGGAACACCAGUGGCGAAGGCGGCCUGCUGGACGACAACUGACGGUGAGGCGCGAAAGCGUGGGGAGCAAACAGGAUUAGAUACCCUAGUA